UACGUAGGGUGCAAGCGUUAUUCGGAAUUACUGGGCGUAAAGCGUGCGCAGGCGGUUGUGCAAGACAGAUGUGAAAUCCCCGGGCUCAACCUGGGAAUUGCAUUUGUGACUGUACGGCUAGAGUGUGUCAGAGGGGGGUAGAAUUCCACGUGUAGCAGUGAAAUGCGUAGAGAUGUGGAGGAAUACCGAUGGCGAAGGCAGCCCCCUGGGAUAACACUGACGCUCAUGCACGAAAGCGUGGGGAGCAAACAGG
Molecule: ribosomal RNA, 253 nt
Filed under: uncultured bacterium
Lineage: Bacteria
Description: partial 16S ribosomal RNA
Rfam family: Bacterial small subunit ribosomal RNA
Source: RNAcentral